AUUGAACGCUAGCGGGAUGCUUAACACAUGCAAGUCGAGCGGCAGCGCGGACUUUGCUCUUGCGUCGAGUGGCGGACGGGUGAGUAAUGUCUAGGAACGUGCCCGGUAGCGGGGGAUAACUUCGCGAAAGGGGAGCUAAUACCGCAUACGCCCUGCGGGGGAAAGCAGGGGAUCGUCAGACCUUGCACUAUUGGAUCAGCCUAGAUCGGAUUAGCUAGUUGGUGGGGUAAAGGCCUACCAAGGCGACGAUCCGUAGCUGGUUUGAGAGGAUGAUCAGCCACACUGGGACUGAGACACGGCCCAGACUCCUACGGGAGGCAGCAGUGGGGAAUUUUGGACAAUGGGGGAAAGCCUGAUCCAGCCAUGCCGCGUGUGUGAUGAAGGUCUUCGGGUUGUAAAGCACUUUUGGUUGGGAAGAAGGGCAGUGAGUUAAUACCUUGCUGUAUUGACGGUACCUGCAGAAUAAGCACCGGCUAACUACGUG
Molecule: ribosomal RNA, 484 nt
Filed under: uncultured bacterium
Lineage: Bacteria
Description: partial 16S ribosomal RNA
Rfam family: Bacterial small subunit ribosomal RNA
Source: RNAcentral